AUACGUAGGUGGCAAGCGUUGUCCGGAUUUAUUGGGCGUAAAGCGAGCGCAGGCGGUUUCUUAAGUCUGAUGUGAAAGCCCCCGGCUCCACCGGGGAGGGUCAUUGGAAACUGGGAGACUUGAGUGCAGAAGAGGAGAGUGGAAUUCCAUGUGUAGCGGGGAAAUGCGUAGAUAUAUGGAGGAACACCAGUGGCGAAGGCGGCUCUCUGGUCUGUAACUGACGCUGAGGCUCGAAAGCGUGGGGAGCAAACAGGAUUAGAUACCCUGGUAGUCCACGCCGUAAACGAUGAGUGCUAAGUGUUGGAGGGUUUCCGCCCUUCAGUGCUGCAGCAAACGCAUUAAGCACUCCGCCUGGGGAGUACGACCGCAAGGUUGAAACUCAAAUGAAUUGACGGGG
Molecule: ribosomal RNA, 397 nt
Filed under: uncultured bacterium
Lineage: Bacteria
Description: partial 16S ribosomal RNA
Rfam family: Bacterial small subunit ribosomal RNA
Source: RNAcentral